UAAGGAAUCUUCCACAAUGGACGAAAGUCUGAUGGAGCAACACCGCGUGGUCGAUGACGCCUUUUGGGGUGUAAAGACCUUUUCUGAGUGAAGAACUCUGACGGUAACUUAGGAAUAAGCACCGGCUAACUCCGUGCCAGCAGCCGCGGUAAUACGGAGGGUGCAAGCGUUACCCGGAAUCAUUGGGCGUAAAGCGUCCGCAGGCGGUUUGUUAAGUAAGAUGUUAAAUUUUGCAGCUCAACUGUAAAUCUAUGUCUUAAACUGGCUAACUAGAGUUUUGGAGAGGUGCGUAGAAUUCUGUGUGUAGGGGUAAAAUCCGUAGAUACACAGAGGAAUACCAAAAGCGAAGGCAGCGCACUGGCCAAUUACUGACGCUCAUGGACGAAAGCGUGGGUAGCGAACGGGAUUAGAUACCCCGGUAGUCCACGCUGUAAACGAUGGAUACUAGGUGUAGGGAGACUCGACCCUUUCUGUGCCAAAGCAAACGCAUUAAG
RNAcentral lists this ribosomal RNA (494 nucleotides) under uncultured bacterium. Its description in RNAcentral is "bacterial SSU rRNA". It matches the Rfam family "Bacterial small subunit ribosomal RNA", at positions 355 to 864 of the family's 1533-position model. The record is from RNAcentral.